Molecule: long non-coding RNA, 5109 nt
Filed under: Neodiprion lecontei (redheaded pine sawfly)
Lineage: Eukaryota; Metazoa; Arthropoda; Insecta; Hymenoptera; Diprionidae
Description: uncharacterized LOC124294556, transcript variant X2
Source: RNAcentral
UCUGCAAGUACGAAAGUGGUUGUAAGUAUAUUGCAGAUUUUCGUGUCCAGUUAGUAAACGAGGAUAAACAAUCUCAGGUUUCGGAAAUAUCCGAAAUUUACCAAUUUCGACAAUAAAGUCGUUGGUCGUACACGGGACAGUUUGUGGCGGUUAAUUUUUAUCCAAGGUCGAAAUUCUUUGCCCUACAAUAGGUAAUCCCACAGCGUUGAAGGGCAGUUUGGCCAUGUUUAGCUCGCGCCAAGGUAGAACAGCUAUUCUUCGACAACAUCGUCUUCAGUUUGCUUUUGGCCAGGGAUGGCAGAGGAGAGCACUGCGAAAUACAAAGGUACCAGACAUUGGCGCGAGCUUGACAGUCGACCGUUUUCCCAACUUUACCAGGAUCAGAGGGAUACUUUUGUAAUUUGACACAUACCUUCGGGAAGAAUGACCGUCGCUAUGCACGACGCGCCAGCUACGACCAUGCAGAGACACAGGGGCCACCGUCUACCCCAACGAUCCAUGACCACCCAGCACGCCAUGUAGCUUGGUAUUUCUGCCAACGAUGAGAAGAAGAAACUCAAAUGCUCUUCACUUCCAAGUGCUGGCCCAUAAUAUGAGAGGCCAACAUAAACCAUGUUGUUGGCAAACCUAAAAACAUGCAGAAAAAUCGUUGAUUGGUAGGUUCAUCGAUUAGAAGGGUAUCUGGCAAAGCAUUGGUCAUAGUUGAUAAAUGGUCCCGAUAUUACGACACUCCUAAAUUAUAAUUGUGUAAUUCAGGUUUGUACAGAGAUCAUGCUUUUCAAAUGCUAACCGAUCCCAUCAAUUUUACAGACGUGAAAUAGACAGGGAAAUAUAGUUGACAUGGAAUUCGGGAUAUUUUGCAAACGGGGGAUUCGAAUUGAAAAUUUAAAAACUUGGGCUACCUUUCUCAAAAUGCUUUCUUUCUAUCUACCUAUGCACAGUUUGGAGAGAAUUAUGAUAGAUAUUUUUAAAGACUAAUAAAAAAAACACAUGACCUUUGGACUUCAUCUUCCAAGUUGACUACACGUACCACCAGUUGUAUCGUGAUUCGAAUAGUUGGUACGCGUUUUAUUAAUACACCUCAAAAUUACCAGUUCAGAGUUAUCAGGCACGUUUUCAGACGCAUAUUUGGCGUUUUAAAAAGUGCGAGGAUGCCGGGUCCGCUGCGGAGUCGUUCCUCUUCGCUCUUAGAUCGUGACAUGGUCAUCCGCUGGCGAAGCUUCUGGGUGAACGAAUCAGGAAGCUCUUUGCCAUUCACCCUUGCUAGUGUUUCCAAAAUUUCAUUCGCUUCCUCCAGACGACCCUUCGCCAGCAGCCAGCGUGGAGAUUCUGGAAGAAACCUUUGCCCAUAGUUGGCCUUACUAUUCAAUAACACCGAGAAGCUUACGAAUAUUAAUUUGGCCAUUUGGCAUGUUCUCACUGUUCUCUUUGAAUGUGGGGAGGGCUCAAGUAUUAUGUUUUACGCUACUGACCACCAAUACAGAAAGUACAGUAGGAACGGGGCACUGGUCGUCAGGGCGAGGAGUCGCCAGUCGCGAACCAGAUACGUAACACCUGCCAGCGUACACAAUCCGAUAGUGUAGAAUGUGCAGGUCAUGACAGUGACGAAGGAGCGGUAAUUUGGCCCUACGAGCUCCAGGGCUGUGAAAAAAUAACCAAACUUGUUUGAGAAUUUCUGCUAUGGCUACUAUUGUGCAGGACUACGGGUGCGAGUUUAAGUCAACCGAUUUUUUUCCCACCAAAGAUUGGAUAAUUCUGUCCUAGACAAUUGGAUUAUGGUGGAACAAUUCAUGACUCUGCUCACACAGCUCGGAUUGCAUCUGAUUUAAAGAGCGAUCCUAAUGAUCUUACAAAUAAUAAACGGUAUUUGAUAAAUUGCAGGAAUCGUCAGGCCCACAAUGAAUCGGGUUCCGGCCCAAGUCCAGAAGGAGUUUGCCACCGACGUUAGGAAUCCACCCGUGAUCAGCGUUGCCAAACAUAUGAAGAACGAUAGUCGGCGUCCGAUUCUGCCCUCAAAAUGAGAAAAUGGAUGUCGUACGAUUUUUGAUAUUGCAAUUAAACACUAAUUGGGAACAUUAGUGAAUUCAAAUUUUACCUGUCAUUCAACAUGCCGAAGAGGAGCCAUAUAAUACCAUAGAGCAAGAAUACGCGUAGCAACCAAACAUACGUCGAUAACGAUGGAAGAAGUCACCUCCGACUCAUCGUACUCCCAGCCAUGAUCGCACGGAAUUACAGACCAGGAAGCGUUGGGUGUAAGAUACUCGGCCAUUAGCAUCGCUGGCGUUUCCCAAUCAAUGUUGUAACGGGUGCAACGGCUGUAAGAUUCGUUGUCCCCCUACCAAGCGACCGUUUAUCAUCGGUACAUGGAAAAAAGGAAAGGAAAGAGUUUGCUGUAAUGAAAGAAAUGAAUCCCAUUCAACGCUACGAGUAGGGUCUCUUAUUGACGCACCUGACUAGGGAUGCCAAGAUGCCGUCUCUGAGGUGGAUCGAGACCCUCGAGUCCAGGUACUUUGCACCAGUGUGGAGGAGUUUCAGACAUGAAAAGCUGAUUGAAGGCGCAAAAUCCGCAUGGCAAACAUGCUGGUAGACAGACGAACCAUAGAAGCAGCCGUUGGUAACGACCAAACUCUCCGACGAUGGGCAACAGAUCGUCAAGGUCGAAUCCAUCCUGUGGCGAAGUUUGUGAGAGAGUCGAAGCAGUGAUGACUUACAAGUUCAAUAAUGGCAAGCAAUCGGGCUACCAGAAGAAAUUAAAGUGGCUAAACAUGUCAAAAUGGUAUUUUGGUAUUUUGGCUCAGACUAUGUAUUGCGAGCGACUUGCAAGAUUUUGCAGGAUACCUGGAUUUUGUUUGCAUUUUAAUCAGUUCAGGAAAAGUAAUAAUUGUAAGGUGAUCUUUACCAUUUACCAACUUGGCGAAUGGAACUGCUGAGCAUUGAAAAUUGGCAUACAACAAAUUCAGGGAUAUUUUGGCACCUAUAUCUGACCACCGGAUGGAUAGACGAAAAAAAUUUCUGUACGAAUAAACUGAGUGAGAUUGAGAUGCAUACUCACGUCGUCGUCGUCGACACGAUGUACUUGCCUGUCAUCUGGCCCCGAGUUAUCUUGAACAUUCAUACUGGCAAUGAUGAGGGGCUGGUCUCAGGCUACUGAAACCUCAAGGAAGCCUUAGAAAAAGGUCAGGUAACAUGUAUCAAGCUUAGUUGUGUCUCAUACGCGUGACAUACAAAAAAUUGCUAACGAAAACUGUGAUUGUGGCAGCCACAAAUUGUGGAUUCAGUAAAAAGGUGUCCAAGAGUUUCAGGAAAUAGUGGAACCGUGUCAAAUGGCAAUAGGGUGGCACUCUAGACGAAUGGCAACGAUGACGUAUAAAAAAAUAUCCAGUCCUGGGGUGGUUCUUCUAUAAUUGAAUUAGGCUGGAGAUGCUUAAGAGAGAUUAAGGGCACUGCUGACACACAGCGCAUUAGAGAGGAUUGAUUUCAUGCUCGGCCGUGUAGGCAUAAAUUCGUUCGACCACUUGGUUAUACGCAUUUACAACAUAACAGCGUACGAUAAAUGGAUUGGCUACCAUAAAAUUUAAUCCUAAUUUACCACACGUAAUUCGUCGUACUGACCUCUGGGGCAGUGCGCAACCACCCCACACAUAUAGCGGCUGGUUUUCUUCUAUUCAAAAUAGUAAUUACAAUAUAAUUCACCCUACAAAAUGCAGGUUACAUUUAAGGACAGCUUGUCAAGCUGCCGAGUUGAAAUCGAUUAGUUGAACAGCAUGGUGAAGGAAUUUUAGGGCUUUAUAUGCAGAUAUUAUACAGGUGAUGCACAUCUUUUCAGCAUCAGGAUGCUACAAAUAAUGGCUAAGGCCUAAACGCUUCAAUAUUCCAGUGUUUUCUGACGAAUUUGAUUUCAUCCCGGUAUUGCCAAGUUAUCCUACUUCUAGAAAUCUCAAAGGACCUCUAAGUGAUUGGCGCAUUUCAUACUAUUGGAUGCAAAAUUUUUAUUCGUUCUUUCAUAUCAUUUACACCCGCCACGCCACCAUUGAUGCAAUGUAAUUCAUUCAUUUAUUACUCUCACUAUGAAAUUCUUUCAGGCUGCACCCGUGCACAUCAUACAAUCUGGAAAUGAUUAUUUAUUUGGAUAAUUUUAGCAGUCUACAGUGAAAUUAUCAAGCUUUUGACUAUCGAUACAUAAUCUUGAAAUUCCGAAUCAAUACUCACAAAAAACAAAGCUCCAUACAGACUCAAUAUACGUAAAAGUGAAAUUAUCGGAGCCAGAUUGCCUUGGCCCAUCAAUUCCAUGUUUUUUUACAUUCCACGAGUAGGCAUACAGUCGUCCAUUUAAUUGCAGAUGAUACAAAAGUUUACAUCAAUACAAAACUGAACUGUCGAUUGGCAGAACGAAGAGUAUGCAAGGGGAAAUUUUAUUUUCAGUGACUGUGAGGUAAGAACUCGUGUACCUGUAAGUAGUAAUAGUGAUACAUAGCUCUUGAUAAAGAUCCAUCGACAAUUCGAUAGAUGGGAUGCCAAAUUCAUGGUAAAAAUGACGCUAUACUUUUAUUAGUUACAUGUUUUUAUUCAGAAUCCAUAUGGGAGAUACCCACUGUUCUUUGAUUAUUCACUCGGUAAAUUUUUUUUUCUUUAACCCAAUUUAGCAACUUAAAUCACUGAUGAAAAAAGAAACAAUUACCACAGAGUGCCAAAUAUCGCUUCACGACGUAGAAAAGUGCCAUACGAAAGUCAGUUUAAUAAUCGUAUUGAUAUAGGUAUUGUUGGAGUACACGUGGAAAUAAUCGAUUACCUGAUCUGAUCAUAAGCACAGACGUUUUUGAGUGCUUGAAGUAAGGACUCAGAUGAUCCAAUAAUAACAAUUGUCAUUUAGGUGUAUUUUUAGUAUGUAACAAUCAAAAACAACACAUAUAUUUCAAGACAAGGGCCAAGUUUGCCGAGCCUAUAACAUCAACAAAUGUUAUAUCUGCUCGUACAAGAUUUGGCAGGUUUCCUGAGUAAUAAUUUUGUGUCACGUUAUAUAUUCUUGGUUUCAAUAAACAUAAACUAAAGUGGAUGAGAGCUAUUACAAAGAGAAAACAGGGAGUAAUAAAAGAAGAUGUAAUAAAUAUA